Molecule: long non-coding RNA, 4840 nt
Organism: Polypterus senegalus (gray bichir)
Lineage: Eukaryota; Metazoa; Chordata; Cladistia; Polypteriformes; Polypteridae
Exons: 2
Source: RefSeq, a predicted model, not a curated record
UAUUCCAGUUUUUAAACACACAGUCAGAGUUUGCUUUAUACUUUAUUCUGUUGUUAUAACAGCAAUAUCCAAUUCUGGGUCACAGGGAGCCAGAGCCUCUCCUGUUAGCAUCGAGAGCAGCCAUGAACAGAACAGCAAGGAAAACUGAAGUAUAUGGAGACAAAGUUAUGCAGAUGUUAUGCUUUAGACAAAUUAACAUUUAAAAGAAAGACAAUACUCCUACAGUGUCUAUGUUCAAUGACAACAGAGGAUGCAGAAGAAGAUAUGUGUUUAUUGUAUCACUAAAUAGGACUGCCAAGAUAACUAACAGAUGCACAACUAUAGGCGGCAGCCUAUUGGAACAUAUCAAAACUCUCAGUAUGAAAAUUUCAAAUUAAAUUUGAGUUAUCUUAUACAAUAGUUCUGAACUGGCUCUGGGAAAUAUGCAAAUGAACAAAGUUACACUAUUGACUACACCACCUGCUAAAUCCACCAGUUGCAUGGGGUUGAAUUUGGUGACAGUCAUACAAUAAAGACUAAUGGAAAAAAUGAUUUCUGAGUAGGCUGCAAGCAAUCAGUUUUACAAAACCACUUGGCAAAGUCUUCAUAUCAAAGUCCUUCUGUGCUGCCUGCAAGCAUUUGGCCCAACUUCUUAUUUUAAAAUCACUUCUGGAUUACAUCUUGAUAUUUCACAUAAAAACAAUGAUAGCAUUUUAUGGUCUGUUAGUGAGCCCUUAACCCACUGUUAUUACAAUUAUGUUUACAAUUUUUAUGCUAAUUAUGUAUUAGACAAGUGGCUAUAAACUAAAAUGGAGUUUUAAUUGUAAAUAAAAAAGCUUUGAUUUCUUUAUGCUUCUCUACUUCUUCCUCCUUGUUUUACAUCAUCAUGCCUAACCUGCAACACACAGAGCUCUUUCUGUUUCCCAGUAACAUGGCUGCUCUGCAUUCCCUCUGAUUCAUAUUGCAGGCUCUGGCUCAUCCAAUUUCUCUUACCAUUUGCAUCUUUCCCCCCUUGAUAGUGGUAUUUCCCAGCCCCCAACCCAGAGUGCCUGUGCUCUUCAUACAGCUCUGCGUCUCCCACACACUCUUUCUCCUUCUCCUUGAUGUGAUAUUGAUUCACCUUUCCUCUUUCCUUCUGCGGUCUGGACCACAAGCUGCCGGAUCUAAGAGAGUGAGACCCAAGCAGGAAGGAGACACUGUCACGGCCUCAGGUGUUUUUCUCAUCUGCUGCUGGAAGGAAUGAAGCAGUAAACAGAGGAAAGACGUCUCCUACACAAAACCUGUCUCACAUACGGAAUUUGUGUGAUUGGGGCAAUUAACAAUAAGUUGCUAUUUUGUCUAACCAAGGAGACAGGAUCAAACAUCUCUGAGCAAGACCACACUGCAAUGGAGUCUCGAUCAAGGCACAGUGGCUCAAAAAUGGAGGGCAAAGCAACAGGAAAGGCAGAGAAAACAUCUGGAAGUAGUGUGGAAAAGAAAGAGACUAAAUCUGGUGAACUCACCCCUCAGCCACGAAAACAAGUCAGUGAGACACCAUCUGAGCCAUUAAAAGCUGGCAAUACGGCUGCAGGAGAUAAUACUGGAAAGCAGGUGCCACCAGUGACAGAGGUCAAUGAGGAUGGAAGUGCAGAGGAUAACAAACAGGCUGCUGGGCAGAAUGGGGAUAAUCAGGCAGGUGAAGGCAAUGAUACCUCUGAGCGCCUGAAGCCUUUUCUCAUUGGCGGUGCUGCCAUUGUUGCUGUUGCUGUGGUCAUUGCCAUGGUAUUGCUUGCACGCAAGAAAUGAAGAGCUUCCUUGGGCUUAUGUAAAUAUAGUAGUAAUGUAUAGAACUAGAGGGGCACCGAAACACAUGCACAAAUACAGGUAGAGAUUGGCCAAAACAAAUGGGCACUUAGGAAAGGAAGGGGCUACAUGGAUAGAAAAAGAAACCUUUCAGUCUUCAUUUGUAGUACUUCACUGUUCACUUAAAGUACCAAAGAUUCAAAAUUAAACCUGAUUCAACUAAUAUUUCCUCAGUUUCUAAAUUUGAAUCCACAACCUUGCAGAUACCUGUACAAUUAAAUCAUUGUCUGAAAAUACUUUCAUCAUUGGUCAAUCCUGUGUACGGCAAUGCAUGUUGGCACCUUUAGUUUGACAUGAAGGAUUUAGUUGGGCCACAAUGUAACAGCCCCAAAGGAUAACUUGCCUCCAUUUUCUUGGUAGCCUGUUAAGCAGGCGGGUGGGAUAAACCUGUUGAGGCUUUUAAUGUCACCUCAGAGGUCUUCCUGUCUGAGCAAGCAGAAAACAAAAAGUCUGAAAAAAGUUAGAUUUCAUUCCCUCUCCACUGCACGGUUUAAAAUCUGUAUUUGGUUUGGAAACGUAAUUAAUAAUUAUUUUUCUCAUAAAUGGAAAAAACGUGAUAACCUGGACCAUCACAAAAAUAUUCUAUGAAGAAAAUACUCUGGAGUGUAGGAUCAAUAAUUAGAACAAGUGGUACAUAUUGUUUUAACAUAAAUUCUACUUAUGCCACUCAAUAUAAACAGUACUGUUAUCUUUUGUAGACUUUUUUGAACGUAAUAUGGAGCAAUAGCUAUCCAGAAAACUGAAUAGGUCUCUCUUAGACUUCAUUUGUUUCAUUUUAAUCUUAUUUAGAGUCUUGCAAUAAAGUACCCCCUUUUUGCAGCCUGAAAAAAGGGGCAAAAGUUAUUCCCAGUUUGAAAAAAGAAAAUAAGUUAACGGAGGCAAACUUUCUAUGAAUGAUGACAGUCAAAAUGCUUCAUCUCUACCAUUUUUGUUUAUCAGUGUGGGAAUAAUCUUCAACCUCUCAAUUAAGCAAGCACUACCUUUGCGAAAAUUAAUUGAAGUAGUAACAAACAUCUUCAUGUGUGGGGUAUGUAAAAGAAAAUAAUAUUUUUGGUGUUUAUUUGAUAAUACUGUGAAUUCCCUGUUGUCCAUGUGCCUUCACUAGUGACCACUAAACUAAACGGGUUAAAUGGUGAAGCAAAGCCAUCUCCUCUGAUAGUAUAAAUAUAUGAUACAGUAAAAGCAAACUAAAUAUGGUCAAAUAUCCACAUGAAAUUGUUAAAAAUAUAUCCAAAUAGACUUGACAAAAUGGAGGGAUGGCUCACAAUGAUAGGGUUAAAUACUUUGGGUAAAACAUGUUGCAUUUUACGGAGUGUAUAUAUACUGUCUGCUCAGUCAGGUACCAAAGUAAAACCUGCACUGUGGGCCAUUCCAGCUUUGAAAAGUACACUGAUCACACUCUGGUGUCUGUGUACAUACUUGUGUGUGUUCAUGUGUCCAGGCCCCACUGACAUUUUCACCCCCUCUUGUGUAACUCAUGAAGCAGUAAGAGCACGAGGGCAUAACUUUGAAUGUGUGUCCCUGUGGCUUAGCUUCUUUUCAAAGUCACUGUCCAAGCGAAUGUCUUGUGUUCAUUCUGGCACUCUGCAUGGUUUGAUCCCUUGGCCUGUUUUUCAUUAUGCUUAGUAAUAAGAAUAUACUCUUACUGCUCCUCCUCUAAUACUACUACUAGUGAUGAUAAUGAGACUAAAGUUCAAGUUUUACCUUAAUUUUGUUUUUAAACCAGAGCGUAUAAAUGCAAUAAUGCAGGUAGGAUAAAACCUUAGAUGGGAAAUACUAGUGAUAUUAUAUAUUAUAGUUGUGUAGUUCACACCACAGCCCCUUGACUGCUCUUUCAAACUAAUAAAAAAUGGUAUUAACCAAUCCCAGCCCUUUGUCUCUGUACUCUGAUUAGUCACAGUGUGUAUUAGCUUCAUAUCCACUAACUGGCACAAAGAAACUUGACUGUCUGCAUGGAAAGCAUACUGGCGGUAACCCUUGCUUUGUAAAUAGAUUUGAUUCUGAUUGCUAUAUUAGAAAAGUGUCUUCAGUGUCAUUUCUUCUGCUUCAAUUUCUUUUAUCCAUAAGGUAGCACUUAACAAACAUGGGACAAAUCCAUCUUUUAAGUAAGCAAAUAUUUGUCUUCUUAUUCCAUUGAAAAUGAAUUCCAGCCUUAGAAUCAGAGUCUGAGCUUUGCCAAUAUCUGCUGAUUCUGAAGACCCAUUCUGUCUUGGAGGGAUUUGGGAGUCCUGGUCUUUUUGAAUGCAGGCUUAUGAUUAAUAUUAUGACUUUUCUGGAUCAGCUUGAAGAAAUGGUGCACACAAGCUUAAAACAGCCUUUAAAGUUUGUGACUGGAACAAUAAAAAUAAGUUGAAAUUGUGCUCUUUUAGAAACUAGCCAGUGCCGAGAUGGAGCGAUAAUAAGGAACAUGGUCUUGAAAUAUAUGAAACAAUGACAACUUUAGCUCUUUCAGUCAUCAACACUGUUUAGAUUUAUUUUCAAUGAAAGCAUCACUGAAUGAGCUUGGUGUGUCAAUUAUUACAUGAGAGCCCAUCACAAUAGUUAGUAACUUUGGGUCAUAUAAGAGAGGAUUUCAUUCUUCAUUGUACACUAAAUGGGUUUUAGCCCUUUCUUCUGGAAAACCUUGUUAUUCCUUUCUUUUCUAGAACAAUGGAUUCUGCCAACAACUUUGUAAUUCUUAAUAUUUUUGUCUUUAAGAAUUUCCUUUUCAUUAUUUUUUUUCUUUACUACUUGUACAUUAAGAUAUUCUCAUCCCAAUCAGGUUUGGUUUUCUGCUCAUGUGGCCCUGAACUGGACCACAUUGUAUGAUAACUAUAGAUAGAGGCAUGGAUUUGUCUAUUCAUCAGAAUUCUCAGUAACGACAUUGCCAACAUUCCUUGAUUUCUUGUAAUAAAAUCUUUUUUUAUUUAACAGAUAGUCUUGGUACUACAGUAGUCCCUGAUCCAUUUCAUGUACCUGAUGGAACAAUCUACUAUGGCCAUCUACUUACUACCUUUAAGUUCAAACUAUCUUAUUCAAU